UAUUCUGUGGCGGAGUUGGUUAACGCGCCUUGUCUAGCGAACUUGGGGAGACGUGGGUUCAAAGCCCACCAGAACUA
Molecule: non-coding RNA, 77 nt
Organism: Aedes albopictus (Asian tiger mosquito)
Lineage: Eukaryota; Metazoa; Arthropoda; Insecta; Diptera; Culicidae
Source: Rfam